RNAcentral lists this ribosomal RNA (253 nucleotides) under uncultured bacterium. Its description in RNAcentral is "partial 16S ribosomal RNA". It matches the Rfam family "Bacterial small subunit ribosomal RNA", at positions 524 to 776 of the family's 1533-position model. The record is from RNAcentral.
UACGGGGGGGGCAAGCGUUGUUCGGAAUUACUGGGCGUAAAGGGUUCGUAGGUGGCCUACUAAGUCAGACGUGAAAUCCCUCAGCUUAACUGGGGAACUGCGUCUGAUACUGGUGGGCUUGAGGACAGGAGAGGAACGCGGAAUUCCAGGUGUAGCGGUGAAAUGCGUAGAUAUCUGGAGGAACACCGGUGGCGAAGGCGGCGUUCUGGACUGUUUCUGACACUGAGGAACGAAAGCCAGGGGAGCAAACGGG